Molecule: unclassified non-coding RNA, 329 nt
Filed under: soil metagenome
Description: partial contains 5.8S ribosomal RNA, internal transcribed spacer 2, and large subunit ribosomal RNA
Rfam family: 5.8S ribosomal RNA (bases 1-120)
Source: RNAcentral
GAUGAAGAACGCAGCGAAAUGCGAUAAGUAAUGUGAAUUGCAGAAUUCAGUGAAUCAACGAAUCUUUGAACGCACAUUGCGCCCCUUGGUAUUCCGAGGGGCAUGCCUGUUCGAGCGUCAUUAUAACCCCUCAAGCUCAGCUUGGUGUUGGGGCCUGCUGCACUGGCAGCCCUUAAAAUCAGUGGCGGCGCCAUCUGGCUCUAAGCGUAGUAAUUCUUCUCGCUAUGGAGUCCUGGUGGAUGCUUGCCAUCAACCCCCAAUUUUUCUAUGGUUGACCUCGGAUCAGGUAGGGAUACCCGCUGAACUUAAGCAUAUCAAUAAGCGGAGGA